Molecule: ribosomal RNA, 522 nt
Filed under: uncultured Paraglomeraceae
Lineage: Eukaryota; Fungi; Glomeromycota; Glomeromycetes; Paraglomerales
Description: SSU rRNA
Rfam family: Eukaryotic small subunit ribosomal RNA
Source: RNAcentral
AGCAGCCGCGGUAAUUCCAGCUCCAAUAGCGUAUAUUAAAGUUGUUGCAGUUAAAAAGCUCGUAGUUGAACUUCAGGCCUGUCCAGAUGGUCCGCCUUAAUUGGUGUGUACUGUCCUUGGGUGGGUCCUACCUUCUGGCGAAGCGGCAUGGCCUUAAUUGGUUGUGUUGGGGAACCAGGACUUUUACUGUGAAAAAAUUAGAGUGUUCAAAGCAGGCAUAUAUGCUCGAAUACAUUAGCAUGGAAUAAUGGAAUAGGACGAUGGUUCUAUUUUGUUGGUUCUAGGACCGUUGUAAUGAUUAAUAGGGAUAGUUGGGGGCAUUAGUAUUCAAUUGUCAGAGGUGAAAUUCUUGGAUUUAUUGAAGACUAACUACUGCGAAAGCAUUUGCCAAGGAUGUUUUCAUUAAUCAAGAACGAAAGUUAGGGGAUCGAAGACGAUCAGAUACCGUCGUAGUCUUAACCAUAAACUAUGCCGACUAGGAAUCGGGCGAUGUUGACAAAAUGACUCGCUCGGCACCUCAUG